AACGAACGCUGGCGGCAUGCCUAACACAUGCAAGUCGAACGAGACCUUCGGGUCUAGUUGCGCACGGGUGCGUAACGCGUGGGAACCUGCCCUUAGGUUCGGAAUAACUCCCCGAAAGGGGUGCUAAUACCGGAUAAUGUCUUCGGACCAAAGAUUUAUCGUCUUUGGAUGGGCCCGCGUUGGAUUAGCUAGUUGGUAGGGUAAAAGCCUACCAAGGCGACGAUCCAUAGCUGGUCUGAGAGGAUGAUCAGCCACACUGGGACUGAGACACGGCCCAGACUCCUACGGGAGGCAGCAGUGGGGAAUAGUGGACAAUGGGCGAAAGCCUGAUCCAGCAAUGCCGCGUGAGUGAUGAAGGCCUUAGGGUUGUAAAGCUCUUUUACCCGGGAUGAUAAUGACAGUACCGGGAGAAUAAGCUCCGGCUAACUCCGUG
This 433-nucleotide ribosomal RNA is filed under the name uncultured bacterium. Its description in RNAcentral is "partial 16S ribosomal RNA". It matches the Rfam family "Bacterial small subunit ribosomal RNA", at positions 29 to 507 of the family's 1533-position model. The record is from RNAcentral.